ACGGCCAGAGAUGGUCGCCCCCUUGUGGUCGGUGUACAGGUGGUGCAUGGUUGUCAUCAGCUCGUGUCAUGAGAUGUUGGGUUAAAUCCCGCAACGAGCGCUACCCUCGUUCUAUGUUGCCAGCGCUUUAUGGCGGGGACUCAAAGGAGACUUGCCGGGUUCAACUAAGUAGGAAAGUGGGGAUAACCUCAAUUCUUAUUGCCCCUUAUGAUUAAGUAUUUUCCGCUAUCAAUAAAGGUAGGUAUAAUUGGCAGCGAUAACAAUUAUGUGGAACUAAUACCAAAAGCUUGUUCAUAUUUUCACUAACACCGUAUGCUACUAAUACUUAUUAAUUUCUAUAUAGGCAUAUAUCACUCUACUUUAGCAUCUUAUUUAACUCUAUACAUUUCACAUCUUG
This 397-nucleotide ribosomal RNA is filed under the name uncultured bacterium. RNAcentral describes it as "bacterial SSU rRNA". The stretch from base 1 to 210 matches the Rfam family "Bacterial small subunit ribosomal RNA", at positions 996 to 1206 of the family's 1533-position model. The record is from RNAcentral.